UACGUAGGGUGCAAGCGUUAAUCGGAAUUACUGGGCGUAAAGCGUGCGCAGGCGGUUUUGUAAGUCUGAUGGGAAAUCCUCGGGCUCAACCUGGGAAUUGCAUUGGAGACUGCAAGGCUAGAAUCUGGCAGAGGGGGGUAGAAUUCCACGUGUAGCAGUGAAAUGCGUAGAGAUGUGGAGGAACACCGAUGGCGAAGGCAGCCCCCUGGGUCAAGAUUGACGCUCAUGCACGAAAGCGUGGGGAGCAAACAGG
This 253-nucleotide ribosomal RNA is filed under the name uncultured bacterium. Its description in RNAcentral is "partial 16S ribosomal RNA". It matches the Rfam family "Bacterial small subunit ribosomal RNA", at positions 524 to 776 of the family's 1533-position model. The record is from RNAcentral.